CCUACGGGAGGCAGCAGCCGCGGUAAUACGGAGGGUGCAAGCGUUAUCCGGAUUCACUGGGUUUAAAGGGUGCGUAGGUGGGUUGGUAAGUCAGUGGUGAAACCCCCGAGCUUAACUCGGGAACUGCCAUUGAUACUAUCAGUCUUGAAUAUCGUGGAGGUCAGCGGAAUAUGUCAUGUAGCGGUGAAAUGCUUAGAUAUGACAUAGAACACCAAUUGCGAAGGCAGCUGGCUACCCGAAUAUUGACACUGAGGCACGAAAGCGUGGGGAUCAAACAGGAUUAGAUACCCUGGUAGUCCACGCCCUAAACUAUGGAUACUCGACAUAUGCGAUAAACUGUAUGUGUCUGAGCGAAAGCAUUAAGUAUCCCACCUGGGAAGUACGACCGCAAGGUUGAAACUCAAAUGAAUUGACGG
Molecule: ribosomal RNA, 416 nt
Filed under: uncultured bacterium
Lineage: Bacteria
Description: bacterial SSU rRNA
Rfam family: Bacterial small subunit ribosomal RNA
Source: RNAcentral